GGGCCCGCACAAGCGGUGGAGUAUGUGGUUUAAUUCGAUGCAACGCGAAGAACCUUACCAGGGUUUGACAUCCUGCGAAUCUCUUGGAAACAGGAGAGUGCCUUCGGGAACGCAGUGACAGGUGGUGCAUGGCUGUCGUCAGCUCGUGUCGUGAGAUGUUGGGUUAAGUCCCGCAACGAGCGCAACCCACGUCUUUAGUUGCCAGCAUUUAGUUGGGCACUCUAGAGAGACUGCCAGUGACAAACUGGAGGAAGGCGGGGACGACGUCAAGUCAUCAUGGCCCUUACAUCCUGGGCUACACACGUACUACAAUGCUACGGACAAAGGGCAGCAAGUUCGCGAGGACAAGCAAAUCCCAUAAACCGUGGCUCAGUUCAGAUCGUAGGCUGCAACUCGCCUACGUGAAGGCGGAAUCGCUAGUAAUCG
RNAcentral lists this ribosomal RNA (426 nucleotides) under uncultured bacterium. RNAcentral describes it as "bacterial SSU rRNA". It matches the Rfam family "Bacterial small subunit ribosomal RNA", at positions 917 to 1344 of the family's 1533-position model. The record is from RNAcentral.